AUCCACGUGAUGAGUCAAAAAUAAGACGAAACGCACGUCCUGGAU
Molecule: non-coding RNA, 45 nt
Organism: Schistosoma haematobium
Lineage: Eukaryota; Metazoa; Platyhelminthes; Trematoda; Strigeidida; Schistosomatidae
Source: Rfam